AGUGAGCGCUGGCGGUAGGCCUAACACAUGCAAGUCGAACGGCAGCACAGUAAGAGCUUGCUCUUACGGGUGGCGAGUGGCGGACGGGUGAGGAAUACAUCGGAAUCUACUUUUUCGUGGGGGAUAACGUAGGGAAACUUACGCUAAUACCGCAUACGACCUACGGGUGAAAGCAGGGGAUCUUCGGACCUUGCGCGAUUGAAUGAGCCGAUGUCGGAUCAGCUAGUUGGCGGGGUAAAGGCCCACCAAGGCGACGAUCCGUAGCUGGUCUGAGAGGAUGAUCAGCCACACUGGAACUGAGACACGGUCCAGACUCCUACGGGAGGCAGCAGUGGGGAAUAUUGGACAAUGGGCGCAAGCCUGAUCCAGCCAUACCGCGUGGGUGAAGAAGGCCUUCGGGUUGUAAAGCCCUUUUGUUGGGAAAGAAAAGCAGCAGGUUAAUACCCCGCUGUUCUGACGGUACCCAAAGAAUAAGCACCGGCUAACUUCGUG
Molecule: ribosomal RNA, 492 nt
Filed under: uncultured bacterium
Lineage: Bacteria
Description: partial 16S ribosomal RNA
Rfam family: Bacterial small subunit ribosomal RNA
Source: RNAcentral